CCUACGGGAGGCAGCAGUGAGGAAUAUUGGUCAAUGGACGAGAGUCUGAACCAGCCAAGUAGCGUGAAGGAUGACUGCCCUAUGGGUUGUAAACUUCUUUUAUAUGGGAAUAAAAUGUUCCACGUGUGGGAUUUUGUAUGUACCAUAUGAAUAAGGAUCGGCUAACUCCGUGCCAGCAGCCGCGGUAAUACGGAGGAUCCGAGCGUUAUCCGGAUUGAUUGGGUUUAAAGGGAGCGUAGGUGGAUUGUUAAGUCAGUUGUGAAAGUUUGCGGCUCAACCGUAAAAUUGCAGUUGAAACUGGCAGUCUUGCGUACAGUAGAGGUGGGCGAACUUCGUGGUGUAGCGGUGACAUGCUUAGAUAUAACGAAGAACUCCGUUUGCGAAGGCAGCUCACUGGACUGCAACUGACACUGAGGCUCGAAAGUGUGGGUAUCAAACAGGAUUAGAUACCCGUGUAGUC
RNAcentral lists this ribosomal RNA (460 nucleotides) under uncultured bacterium. RNAcentral's name for it is "partial 16S ribosomal RNA". It matches the Rfam family "Bacterial small subunit ribosomal RNA", at positions 338 to 795 of the family's 1533-position model. The record is from RNAcentral.